UCCCGUUGAUCCUGCGGGAGAUUGCUGCUAUUAGGAUUCGACUAAGCCAUGCAAGUCAAGGGGGCGCAAGCCACCGGCAGAAUGCUCAGUAACACGUCGAUAAUCUACUCUUAGAUCUGGGAUAACCUUGGUAAACUGAGGCUAAACCCGGAUAGAAGAUUUGUUCUGGAAUGAUAUUUCUUUGAAAAGCAAUGUCUAAGGAUGAGUCGGCGACCGAUUAGGCUGUUGGCGAGGUAACGGCUCACCCAACCUGUGAUCCAUACGGGCCUUGAGAGAGGUAGCCCGGAGAGGGACACUGAGAAACUGGUCCCAGCCCUACGGGGUGCAGCAGGCGCGAAACCUCUACAAUGCACGCAAGUGUGAUAGGGGAAUCCUAAGUGCUCAUGCUUAGCAUGGGCUUUUGCCAAAGGUAAAUUCUUUGGCGAAUAAGUGGUGGACAAGACUGGUGCCAGCCGCCGCGGUAAUACCAGCGCCACAAGUGGGGAUCGUGUUUAUUUGGCCUAAAGCGUCCGUAGCCGGACUAUUAAAUCCAUUGUGAAAUCGUUGCGCUUAACGUAACGGCGUGCAGUGGACACUGAUAGUCUAGGGACUGGGAGGCGUUAGAUGUAUGAUGGGGGGAGCAGUAAAAUGCUAUAAUCCCCAGUAGACAACCGGUGGCGAAGGCGUCUAACGAGAACAGGUCCGACGGUCAGGGACGAAAGCUAGGGGAGCAAUCCGGAUUAGAUACCCGAGUAGUCCUAGCUGUAAACGCUGUGAGCAAGGUGUUGCAUAUCCUCCGAGGGUAUGCAGUGUCGAAGAGAAGUCGUUAAGCUCACCGCCUGGGGAGUACGGUCGCAAGACUGAAACUUAAAGGAAUUGGCGGGGGAGUACUACAAGGGGUGCGGCGUGCGGUUUAAUUUAAUUCAACGCAGCGAAUCUCACCAGGGGCGACGGCAGAAUGAAGGCCAGAUUAAAGGUUUUACUUGACGAGCCGAGAGGUAGUGCAUGGCCGCCGUCAGCUCGUUCCGUAAGGUGUCCUGUUAAGUCAGGCAACGAGCGAGACCCAUAUCUGCAAUUGCUAACAGGUUCUUUUAGAGGACUGGGCACAUUGUAGGGACUGCCUUGGAAACAAGGAGGAAGGUGUAGGCUACGGUAGGUCUGUAUGCUCCGAAUCUUCUGGGCUACACGCGCGCAACAAUGGUAAGGACAAUGGGAUGCAACUCCGAAAGGAGAAGCUAAACCUCUAAACCUUAUCCUAGUCUAGAUUGAGGGUUGCAACUCACCCUCAUGACAAUGGAAUCCCUAGUAAUCGGACGUCAACAUCGUCCGGUGAAUAUGUCCCUGCUCCUUGCACUCACCGCCCCGU
RNAcentral lists this ribosomal RNA (1345 nucleotides) under uncultured prokaryote. RNAcentral's name for it is "partial 16S ribosomal RNA". It matches the Rfam family "Archaeal small subunit ribosomal RNA". The record is from RNAcentral.